UAUCUGGUUGAUUCUGCCAGUGACAUAUGCUUCUCUCAAAGAUUAAGCCAUGCAUGUGCAAGUGCAAGCUAUUUUUAUGGUGAAACCGCGGAAGGCUCAUUAUAUCAGUCAUGGUUCAUUGGAUUGUACCCAGUUACUUGGAUAACUGCGGAAAUACUGGAGCUAAUACAUGCCAACGGAGUUCUGACCGGAGACGGGAGGAACGCUUUUAUUAGAUCAAAACCAAUCGUUGGCUUCGGCCUUCGUGUUUUUGGUGACUCUGAAUAACUUUGUGCAGAUCGCAUGGCCUCGCGCCAGCGACGCAUCUUUCAAAUGUCUGCCCUAUCAACUUUCGAUGGUAAGUUCUAUGCUUACCAUGGUUGUAACGGGUAACGGGGAAUCAGGGUUCGAUUCCGGAGAGGCAGCCUGAGACACGGCUACCACAUCCAAGGAAGGCAGCAGGCGCGCAAAUUACCCACUCCCGGCACGGGGAGGUAGUGACGAAAGAUAACAAUACGGGACUCAUCCGAGGCCUCGUAAUUGGAAUGGCAACACUUUAAAUCCUUUAUGGAGUAUCUAACUGAGGGCAAGUCUGGUGCCAGCAGCCGCGGUAAUUCCAGCUCAGUUAGCGUAUAUCAAAGUUGUUGCGGUUAAAAAGCUCGUAGUUGGAUCUGCGUCUCGCACGGCUGGUUCACCGCCCGUCGGUGCUAACUGGUUCGUCGGGAUGUCAUGCCGGAGGCGCGUCAGCUACCCCUGCGGGGCGUGGGCGGUGCCCGUUGAAAUCCUGCUCUGGUGCUCUUCACUGAGUGUCGAGGUGGGCCGGCACGUUUACUUUGAACAAAUUAGAGUGCUCAAAGCAGGUCAAGUGAUGGCCUUGAAUAUUUUUGCAUGGAAUAAUGGAAUAGGACUUCGGUCCCAUUUUGUUGGUUUUAAGGACCUGAAGUAAUGAUAAAUGGAGACAGGCGGGGGCAUUCGUAUUGCUACGUUAGAGGUGAAAUUCUUGGAUCGUAGCAAGACGGACUGAAGCGAAAGCAUUUGCCAAGGAUGUUCUCGUUGAUCAAGAACGAAAGUUUGGGGCUCGAAGGCGAUCAGAUACCGCCCUAGUCCAAACCAUAAACUAUAUAGACUGGUCCUCUGAGGGAUGUCCAUUGAUGCAUCCUCAGGUAGCCUCCGAGAAAUCAAAGUUUUUGUAUUCCGGGGGAAGUAUGGUUGCAAAGCUGAAACUUAAAGAAAUUGACGGAAGGGCACCACCAGGAGUGGAGCCUGCGGCUUAAUUUGACUCAACACGGGAAAUCUUACCAGGCCCAGACACUGGAAGGAUUGACAGAUUGAAAGCUCUUUCUUGAUUCAGUGGGUGGUGGUGCAUGGCCGUUCUUAGUUGGUGGAGUGAUUUGUCUGCUUAAUUGCGAUAACGAACGAGACUCUAACCUGCUAAAUAGACGUACCCGGCUUCCAAGGCAGCCGGCGGUACUAAAUCUUCUUAGAGGGACAGGCGGCUCUUAGCCGCACGAGAUUGAGCAAUAACAGGUCUGUGAUGCCCUUAGAUGUUCUGGGCCGCACGCGCGCUACAAUGGAGGUGUCAGCGUGUCCUCCCUGGCCGAAAGGUCUGGGUAACCCGCUGAAACGCCUUCUUACUAGGGAUUGUGGCUUGAAAUUGUACCACAUGAACGAGGAAUUCCCAGUAAAGGCGUGUCAUCAGCACGCCUUGAUUACGUCCCUGCCCUUUGUACACACCGCCCGUCGCUACUACCGAUUGAAUGUUUUAGUGAGGUCUUUGGACCGGCGCGCGGAGUUCCUUCGGGAACACCGAUGCCGCUGGGAAGAUGCCCAAACUUGAAUAUUUAGAGGAAGUAAAAGUCGUAACAAGGUUGCUGUAGGUGAACCUGCAGCAGGAUCAUUA
Molecule: ribosomal RNA, 1879 nt
Organism: Phragmites australis (common reed)
Lineage: Eukaryota; Viridiplantae; Streptophyta; Magnoliopsida; Poales; Poaceae
Source: RefSeq, a predicted model, not a curated record